Molecule: long non-coding RNA, 352 nt
Filed under: Daucus carota (carrot)
Lineage: Eukaryota; Viridiplantae; Streptophyta; Magnoliopsida; Apiales; Apiaceae
Description: long non-coding RNA (DCAR_LNC007141)
Source: RNAcentral
UCUCCAGUAAUCAAGGGUUGUGAAAAGUCACCAAGAAAUUGCUUAUUCUAAUACAUUUGCACUUAAUACCAGCACAAGUACAUGGAUCGUCCCUUUCACAUGACAUUGCAUUUUACCCAUUGAUCUCAAAGGAGUACUUGAUAAUUUUUAUUCUUUUUUUUUUUUUUUUUUUUUUUAGAAAGGCAUAUUCAUCCCUUAACUCCCCCAAACUUAAGAUUUACAAACUCUAAGUUCAAAAAGGGAAUACUCCAAACUCUACGCCCGACUCAACGCAAGGACUCAAGAAAUAAGUUAGUCUAAGUCUUAUCUCUAGAGCAUAAGUGUAAUUACAAUUUUCACACAAGUAGUUUUC